UGCCAUUGCUAAGUCAAGGCAACUCCCACGACCUCGUCGUAUAUACACCAUGGGAGUUCCCUGUUACAGCUUUGGUAGAUUGACGCUUGCCCGCGCCGACCUUCUUUCUGAAGUUAGGCUGACUGGCUUUCGUUUUGAAAACCGGUCGCAAGGGCCGAGCUGUGCUCCGUUUUUGAGUUGAGACCUGCUUCACCUAUCUGUGAUUCGUAGCUGGUCUCUUAGUAACGUUACACACAUUC
Molecule: small nucleolar RNA, 239 nt
Filed under: Aspergillus terreus NIH2624
Lineage: Eukaryota; Fungi; Ascomycota; Eurotiomycetes; Eurotiales; Aspergillaceae
Description: Small nucleolar RNA snR191
Rfam family: Small nucleolar RNA snR191
Source: Rfam by way of RNAcentral